AGACGCGCACUUCGCACCAGUCCCAGUCAACUGGCGAGUCUGGAACCCCUUCGCAGUGCAGACUGGAGUGAAACCGACGCUGCCUCCGCCCUCCGCACCAAAACGCCAAAGGAAAAGCAAAAAUGACUUUCAAACCUGGCCUUCAUAAGGAAGAUGAGUCUGGAGAGCAAAACCGAACCGAGACCUGGCUGGACCGGCGAGCUGGGCGGGAUUCAUUCCUUCACCAAAGUGCUUGGGGAAGUAGUAAUCAGCGUAGGGACAACUAAUUACCAAUUAGGAUUAGUUGCUGUUGAAGGCGCUCCUCCAAUGAAAUCUUCUCUGCUCUCUGAUUCGGUGGUUCUUCUGAGCAAAUAUGACAGCCUUUUCUCCAGGCUUCUUUCCGCUCCUUUUCACGUCCAUCCCCAGAGCCACGCUCUCCAUCUGCAAUCUCUACAACAGAACAUUUACAGUUAGUCUCAUUCCUGCGAGUAUAUCUUUGCUAUUAAGGUGACAUGACUUAUUGGGAAGAACGCAGUGUUGCUUUUUGAUUGCCGAAGAUGCUUAAGCCCAGUUUUUCCAGGUGGGAAAAUGUUAGAACAAAUCUGCUAUGCUUUGUAAACAUACAAUUGUGCUGAACUAUUCACGGACUGUUUAUUUGGGGGGGGGCAGUGGCAAAUGUAUUAAGAGGGUGAGGUAAUUUUUUUCUUUUUCUUUUAUACAAGGAUCGAUGUCCAUGUUUUCUUAAUAGACAUUGGAUUAAAAGUAUUUAUGAUGCUUCAUGGAAUACGGUAUCUCCAAGAAAGAAAAAAAAAUGAGGAUAUAAACUUUUCAUGUUCAAAUCAGUCUUAGGUUUUUAUUUUUUCAUUUUAAUGAAAACCCAUUCCAACAAGAGCACUCAUUAUUUUUAGGUACUUAUCCCAACUGGUAAAGGUACAAUGAUCUGAUUCUAAAAUAUAGCUGAGGACAAGACUUGCUUUUGUGAAAGUAUGUGCAUAUAAAUAUAACACCAGUGUAUGAAAUAUCUUAAGGCUGCAUUUUCUCUCAUCCACCUUCUGCAAUUAAAUGAAAAAAGUUGAAACCUUAAUUGAUAUAUCUGGUUAAGUUCAGUUCAAUUCUUGAUGCCCAGGCAUUUGCUAGCUGUCAAAGGGAAUACAGAGUAGCAAAAGUCAUUGUGUCUUUCCUUUAUAAAUAAGCUCCUGGUCUUCUUGGCAAGGAAAGACACCCAUGACCAUCAAGGAGAACAACUGUGCAGCAUAAAAAUUUACUGAUAAUGAAAAUUCUGUAGAUGAAAGAGUUUGCCCUUUUUGUUAACUUACAUCUAUCACUAAGCAGGAUGUGGCGCAACCGUUUUUGGCUUGAUUAAAGUCAUUCUGAAAUAA
This is a non-coding RNA of Sus scrofa (pig), 1358 nucleotides long. The record is from RefSeq and is a predicted model, not a curated record. NCBI's taxonomy places the organism in Eukaryota, Metazoa, Chordata, Mammalia, Artiodactyla, Suidae.